GCUGCUGUUGGGAGACCCUGGUCUGCACUCUAUCUGUAUGCUUACUGAAGGGAGUGCAGGGCAGGGUUUCCCAUACAGAGGGC
This 83-nucleotide microRNA precursor is filed under the name Choloepus hoffmanni (Hoffmann's two-fingered sloth). RNAcentral's name for it is "microRNA 504 (ENSCHOG00000015578.1)". It matches the Rfam family "mir-504 microRNA precursor family". Lineage: Eukaryota; Metazoa; Chordata; Mammalia; Pilosa; Megalonychidae. The record is from RNAcentral.